GGGCGGGCGGCGAGCGAGGCGCUCAAAGUCAGCCUCGCAGACAUUGCAGCAGAGCCCCGAACUCGGGAGGCGGCGGCGGAGGAGGCGGCGGCGAGGCGCAGGGACGAUCCGGCCCCACGCCCGCCCGCCACCCGCGCGCGCCCGUCCGCCCGUGGCCUCGCGUCCGCCGCUGCGCCGGGAGCGCCGCUGGUCGGAGGGAAGAGCUCGCCGGGGUGCCGGGCCAGGACGGGGCGGCAGGCGCCUUCGCGGACCGAGCCUGACAGAGCCGGAGGCUGGGAGCCGCGGCGGCCUGGGAACACUGAUAUUUGCAUUCAAUGGGGAACAAACGAUGAAGAAGGAAAAGGAAUAUAUUCACUAAGGAUUCUAUCUGCGUACUGCUACAGACCUGUGUUUUAAGGAAUUCUCCUCCUUCUUGCAUAGAAGUUGAUCAGCUCUGUGGUCAGACUCAUUUAUCUUGUCAUUGCCAGAAGAAAUCCUGGACAGAAUGUAACAGUACGUCUCUCUCUGAUUGCUAUGGAAGGUGAAAAACUGAUACUCACUUAUUAAAGUUACGUCUCACUCACCACAGAAAACCAUUCUUUAAAGUGAAUAGAAACCAAGCCCU
This 604-nucleotide long non-coding RNA is filed under the name Theropithecus gelada (gelada). Its description in RNAcentral is "lncRNA (ENSTGEG00000001401.1)". Lineage: Eukaryota; Metazoa; Chordata; Mammalia; Primates; Cercopithecidae. The record is from RNAcentral.